This 456-nucleotide ribosomal RNA is filed under the name uncultured bacterium. RNAcentral's name for it is "bacterial SSU rRNA". It matches the Rfam family "Bacterial small subunit ribosomal RNA", at positions 28 to 469 of the family's 1533-position model. The record is from RNAcentral.
GAUGAACGCUAGCGGCAGGCUUAACACAUGCAAGUCGAGGGGCAGCAUGAGACGGAGAUUCGUCGAAGUCUUGAUGGCGACCGGCGCAAGGGUGCGUAACGCGUGAGCAACUUGCCCGUUUCUGGGGAAUAACCGGUGGAAACGCCGACUAAUACCCCAUAGUAUUGACUUUGGGCAUCCUUAGUCAAUUAAAGAAUUUCGGAAACGGAUAGGCUCGCGUGACAUUAGCUAGAUGGCGGGGUAACGGCCCACCAUGGCAACGAUGUCUAGGGGUUCUGAGAGGAAGGUCCCCCCGACACUGGAACUGAGACACGGUCCAGACUCCUACGGGAGGCAGCAGUGAGGAAUAUUGGUCAAUGGUCUAACGACUGAACCAGCCAUGCCGCGUGAAGGUCACGGCCCUAUGGGUCUUAAACUUCUUUUGUAAGGGAGCAAUAAGUCUCACGUGUGGGAUGA